GUAAUGCUUAGGAAUCUGCCUAUUAGUGGGGGACAACAUCUCGAAAGGGAUGCUAAUACCGCAUACGUCCUACGGGAGAAAGCAGGGGACCUUCGGGCCUUGCGCUAAUAGAUGAGCCUAAGUCGGAUUAGCUAGUUGGUGGGGUAAAGGCCUACCAAGGCGACGAUCUGUAGCGGGUCUGAGAGGAUGAUCCGCCACACUGGGACUGAGACACGGCCCAGACUCCUACGGGAGGCAGCAGUGGGGAAUAUUGGACAAUGGGGGGAACCCUGAUCCAGCCAUGCCGCGUGUGUGAAGAAGGCCUUUUGGUUGUAAAGCACUUUAAGCGAGGAGGAGGCUACCGAGAUUAAUACUCUUGGAUAGUGGACGUUACUCGCAGAAUAAGCACCGGCUAACUCUGUGCCAGCAGCCGCGGUAAUACAGAGGGUGCAAGCGUUAAUCGGAUUUACUGGGCGUAAAGCGCGCGUAGGUGGCCAAUUAAGUCAAAUGUGAAAUCCCCGAGCUUAACUUGGGAAUUGCAUUCGAUACUGGUUGGCUAGAGUAUGGGAGAGGAUGGUAGGAUUCCAGGUGUAGCGGUGAAAUGCGUAGAGAUCUGGAGGAAUACCGAUGGCGAAGGCAGCCAUCUGGCCUAAUACUGACACUGAGGUG
RNAcentral lists this ribosomal RNA (648 nucleotides) under uncultured bacterium. RNAcentral's name for it is "bacterial SSU rRNA". It matches the Rfam family "Bacterial small subunit ribosomal RNA", at positions 110 to 753 of the family's 1533-position model. The record is from RNAcentral.